RNAcentral lists this ribosomal RNA (1480 nucleotides) under uncultured bacterium. RNAcentral describes it as "partial 16S ribosomal RNA". It matches the Rfam family "Bacterial small subunit ribosomal RNA". The record is from RNAcentral.
GUUUGAUCCUGGCUCAGGAUGAACGCUAGCGGCAGGCUUAAUACAUGCAAGUCGAGGGGCAGCACGGUAGCAAUACUGGUGGCGACCGGCGCACGGGUGCGUAACACGUAUACAAUCUGCCUUUAACAGGGGGAUAGCCUUUCGAAAGAGAGAUUAAUACCCCAUAAUAGUAGAGAAGGCAUCUUCUUUAUUUGAAAGCUACGGCGGUUAAAGAUGAGUAUGCGGAUGAUUAGCUAGAUGGUGAGGUAACGGCUCACCAUGGCGACGAUCAAUAGGGGAUCUGAGAGGACUACCCCCCACACUGGUACUGAGACACGGACCAGACUCCUACGGGAGGCAGCAGUAAGGAAUAUUGGACAAUGCCCGCAAGGGUGAUCCAGCCAUGCCGCGUGCAGGAAGACGGCCCUAUGGGUUGUAAACUGCUUUUGAACUAGAGAAAACCCCCCUUCGUGAAGGGGGCUGAUAGUAUAGUUAGAAUAAGCAUCGGCUAACUUCGUGCCAGCAGCCGCGGUAAGACGAAGGAUGCAAGCGUUAUCCGGAUUCAUUGGGUUUAAAGGGAGCGUAGGUGGAUUUGUAAGUCAGUGGUGAAAGCCGGCAGCUUAACUGUCGAAUUGCCAUUGAUACUGCGGAUCUUGAGUAUGGUUGCUGUGGGCGGAAUAUGACAUGUAGAGGUGAAAUUCAUAGAGAUGUCAUAGAACACCGAUUGGCAAAGGCAGCUCACAAAGCCAUUACUGACACUGAGGCUUGAAAGUUGCGGGGAUCAAACAGGAUUAGAUACCUGGUUAGUCCGCACUGUAAACGAUGGAUACUAGCUGUUGGGCGCAAGUUCAGUGGCUAAGCGAAAGUGAUAAGUAUCCCACCUGGGGAGUACGUUCGCAAGAAUGAAACUCAAAGGAAUUGACGGGGGCCCGCACAAGCGGUGGAGCAUGUGGUUUAAUUCGAUGAUACGCGAGGAACCUUACCAAGGCUUAAAUGCAGACUGACCGAUUUGGAAACAGAUCUUUCGCAAGACAGUUUACAAGGUGCUGCAUGGUUGUCGUCAGCUCGUGCCGUGAGGUGUCAGGUUAAGUCCUAUAACGAGCGCAACCCCUGUUGUUAGUUGCCAGCGAGUCAUGUCGGGAACUCUAACAAGACUGCCAGUGCAAACUGUGAGGAAGGUGGGGAUGACGUCAAAUCAUCACGGCCCUUACGCCUUGGGCUACACACGUGCUACAAUGGCCGGUACAGAGAGCAGCCACUGGGUGACCAGGAGCGAAUCUACAAAGCCGGUCACAGUUCGGAUCGGAGUCUGCAACUCGACUCCGUGAAGCUGGAAUCGCUAGUAAUCGGAUAUCAGCCAUGAUCCGGUGAAUACGUUCCCGGGCCUUGUACACACCGCCCGUCAAGCCAUGGAAGCUGGGGGUGCCUGAAGUCGGUGACCGCAAGGAGCUGCCUAGGGUAAAACUGGUAACUAGGGCUAAGUCGUAACAAGGUAGCCGUA